UCUUAAAAGAAAGCAUGCUUGGCUUCGCUUCACGCCCAACUUCUUCUGUUUCCGUCAAAAGCUCAACAUAAUGUUCGGGGAGCUAAUUUGCAAUAAAAUCAUUUCGCAAACUAUCUAAUUUAGGGUUUUAGGUGAAACAAAUUUUUCAGAGAUUACGAAUUUGAGGUAAGGGAGUGUGAGUUGUACACGCAUAUUGAGUGAACUUUAUAAGGAAAGCAUUUUGUGUGGCAGGUGUGUCUUCUCAUCUUUGUUUGCACGAAUCCAAGGCCAAGGAGAAUAGGGACCAAGCUAUGGCUCUCGGGACAAAGUUCUCCCGGCUUUAGAAGAUAAAUGGGCUUCAAAAAUUGGGGUUAGGUUUGAUAAAUCAAUUCCAGAUGGCAAUGAUCUUGGUGGCCUUUGCGAAGAUGAUCGUGGGUUCUUUUGCUCUGCAAAUCAUUUACUACGAGUAGAUGGCUCUGGAGUGGAUGACCUUGGCAAAGUUGCAAUUAAUGAAAUGUUUAAGGUUGCAUCAAAUCAAAGUAAAACUGGCGCACUUGUGUUGUUCAUUAAAGAUAUAGAGAAGGCAAUGGUUGACAACUCUAAAAUUUUAAAAAAGUAAAUUUGAAAGCUUGCCACCGAAUGUCAUGGUAAUUGGUUCUCACACCCAGUUGGAUAAUCGUAAGGAGAAGGAUAACUUGAGUAGACUGCAUCAUAGGAGCAAAGAAACCCACAGUCAUGAAGCAACUUAAUCGCCUUUUUCCAAACAAAGUGACUGUACAGUUGCCUCAGGACGAGGCUUUACUUUAUGACUGGAAGCAACGGUUAGAUCAUGACAUUGAAACUAUGAAAGCUCAGUCCAAUGUUGUCAACAUUCGCUCAGUUCUCAACAAAAUUGGAUUGGUUUGCCCUGAACUUCUGUAUUUAAAACAAAAUCAUCAUUACUCUGGAGCUUAGAACCAACAUCAAGUAUAUCUGAUUUGGGUGCAAUAUAUAAGCUGCUUUUAUAGCAAAUAGUUCUUUAAUGAAGAGAAAGAAAGUAAAGGCUUGACUGUCAUGUUUUAAACUACCAAAUUAUUUUCAUUAGCAAAUUGUCUCAUAUCAGCCAGUCAAAGUAAGUUAUAGUGAGUUGUGACCGUUAUUCCUUUGAGAUUUGGUGAUGGAAUCAUACUUGGGAAUGCAAGAAGUGACACACUCAAAGACCCAAGAGGAGUUGGCUAGACAUGAGGGUUUGGGCCAAUCAGGCCCCAAUGGGCCUGAUGGGGCUAAGAAGGCCCAAGUUGAACUUUUCAUGGACCAUAUUUUAUUAUAGCUAUUUUCAUAUGUUUUGUAUACGUCAUGUUAGUAUAGGUAUCAUAUAUUUUAGUCUUGUA
Molecule: non-coding RNA, 1349 nt
Organism: Cajanus cajan (pigeon pea)
Lineage: Eukaryota; Viridiplantae; Streptophyta; Magnoliopsida; Fabales; Fabaceae
Source: RefSeq, a predicted model, not a curated record